Molecule: ribosomal RNA, 317 nt
Filed under: uncultured bacterium
Lineage: Bacteria
Description: bacterial SSU rRNA
Rfam family: Bacterial small subunit ribosomal RNA
Source: RNAcentral
AUUGAACGCUGGCGGCAUGCCUUACACAUGCAAGUCGAACGGCAGCACGGGAGCAAUCCUGGUGGCGAGUGGCGAACGGGUGAGUAAUAUAUCGGAACGUGCCCAGUCGUGGGGAUAACGUAGCGAAAGCUACGCUAAUACCGCAUACGAUCUAAGGAUGAAAGCGGGGGAUCGCAAGACCUCGCGCGAUUGGAGCGGCCGAUAUCAGAUUAGCUAGUUGGUGAGGUAAAGGCUCACCAAGGCGACGAUCCGUAACUGGUCUGAGAGGAUGAUCAGUCACACUGGAACUGAGACACGGUCCAGACUCCUACGGGAGG